GACGUAGGGCGCGAGCGUUGUCCGGAUUUAUUGGGCGUAAAGCGCUCGUAGGCGGCUUGUUGCGUCGUUCGUGAAAUCCCGUGGCUCAACUGCGGGCUUGCGGACGAUACGGGCAGGCUAGAAUUCGGUAGGGGAGACUGGAAUUCCUGGUGUAGCGGUGAAAUGCGCAGAUAUCAGGAGGAACACCGAUGGCGAAGGCAGGUCUCUGGGCAUUAACUGACGCUGAGGAGCGAAAGCAUGGGGAGCAAACGGG
Molecule: ribosomal RNA, 253 nt
Filed under: uncultured bacterium
Lineage: Bacteria
Description: partial 16S ribosomal RNA
Rfam family: Bacterial small subunit ribosomal RNA
Source: RNAcentral